CCAGUUCAUGCCGGUGGCUGGUGAAGACUAAUUUUAGCGAGAAACCCAGACUGUGUUUUACAUUCUAACAAGCGAUGUUAGUAUGCUUAAACGAUAUCCGUUUUCUCAAAGAGGGCAAUGUUUGCUAACCUGGUCAUUCAAACCUACUGCUAAUGUAAAUAUUCACCUUACCCAAACACCGAUCAUUCUUGUGACGGUGCGUCAGAAUAAAAUUCCCGAAUGGAAACUGGAGCUAGAGUUUAGAGUUCUGGUUGUGAAACACGGAACAAAGAAAUCUGAGAAUGAAAAUCCAGAGUGGUGAGGAAUCAAGUGGUAGAAGACUUCACUGACCUCUUAAUAUAACCUCUAUGACUGAUAUGCCAUCGUAAACCUAACAGAAAGGCAACAGGGUUCCGUGGUAAUGGCCUGGUCACGGCACCUUGACAUGUGGCAGCAACUGAGGGAUCAGGGGUCACAAAUGCAGUCCUACUGGUGAGGAAAGGGUUCCAGCAGUGACUGACAGGAGAGGAGGGCUCAUUGGUUCCCAUAUAGAGCAAUACUGCUGCAUCUCCUCUCCUGCUCCAGCAGAUGUGGAUCCCCAUGGUGACAGGAGAAGAACACCAGAGACACUGCAGAUG
This is a long non-coding RNA of Oncorhynchus tshawytscha (Chinook salmon), 617 nucleotides long. NCBI's taxonomy places the organism in Eukaryota, Metazoa, Chordata, Actinopteri, Salmoniformes, Salmonidae. The record is from Ensembl.